Cryptotermes secundus is the source of this 4096-nucleotide RNA transcript. It is a transcript of the gene named synembryn-A, with no coding region annotated. The record is from RefSeq and is a predicted model, not a curated record. Lineage: Eukaryota; Metazoa; Arthropoda; Insecta; Blattodea; Kalotermitidae. The transcript has 12 exons.
CCGCCCAUGUAUAUGUGUUGCUCUGUGAACAAGUGCGAAAUGAAUGGAAUUGAAGGUGCUGAGCGUGUUGAGUAAUGUACAAGAGUUCAAGAUACAUUAUAUUUAUAUAUGUCGUAAUUUUGAAAAGUAUAAUGAAGUAUGCAAUGUAAUUAAUCGUGAUUCUGUAGUGUAAAUUUUCUGUUAUAGAAUAGAAUUACAUACAUGGGGUAUAUUAGCGUAGUACACUUCCUUAACAAAAGUAUACAUGAACCUAAUACUGGCGAGCUGGCGAGCAUGGUGUGAUAGUGUUGAAACAGCUUGUAGUGUGGUUUGUGUAAAACUAUGUAAAGACUAGAAGUUCCUGUCAUAAAUUGUAAAAUGGAAGACGGUGAUAUGCUAAGCUUAGAAUCUGGAACAGCGGACGAUGUUGUCGAAGUACUUAAAAAGUUCAUCGACAGGCACAAUCAGAUGUUCACAUUCCAUGACUUGAACGAUAAUGGAAGACGCCAGAAGUUGUGGGUUUCUCUUUUUCAUCGCUUGGAGAAAUCGGAAGAACGUUCCUGUCACAGAUAUUGCCUAAACUGCAUCAGAAUAAUAAGCCGAGAUAAGACUGAACUGAAUGAACUAGUGUGCACAAAGUGUCUUGAGAUUUUGCUGCAUCGUGCAGGGUUGGUUUCACAGGAGGAACUUCUCAGCAGUGAUAAUGAAUUGCCUGUCAAUUAUGAAGUGAUGUCAGAAGCAAUGAAAUGUCUUUGUAACAUCAUCUUCAAUUGCCCGAGUGCUCAAGUACUGAUUUCCAGGAAUCGUUCACUAGGGGGCAUUGUUAAACAACUCCAAACAUACAAGGAUCCUGAACUCCCCCAAGAUAUUAAGUUCUUCAGUAUAAAGAUGCUGUUUCUCAUCACUGCAUUGUGUGAAGGAGUCACACCUGAGAUGAAGAAUGAGCUACUUAUGUAUCUUAAAGAUGUUUUAGAUCUCAUUUUAAAAGAAGUUGGAAGGAUGAGAGGUGACAAGAAAGGAGCUGCAUCUUCUGAUAUGAAAAUCAUAAUGUCUGAUGAUCAGGUGACACUGACAUGUGAGGUAUUGAAGACGCUUUUCAAUCUGACUGUAAAAUCUCGAGAACAACCUUCUGUUGGUGAAAAAGAAGCAGAAGAUGCCAGGUUUCUUCACCUAGCUUCUCUUCUUCAUGACCUUCUUCUUUGCGAAACACAGUCAUGUGAUAAACGGUGUGAGCUUCAUAAACAUGUAGUGAAUCUUCUGAUGAAUGUGCCAGACAACUGCUAUGAGAAGCUGCUCACCCCUGCACACAGAAGUCCACAUGAUCCACCUAAGGAGUCUGAGUAUGAUGGCAAAAACAUGGAAGCACUGGUUUUGCUUUUAGACUUUCUGGACUCUAAGUUGGACAUGGCAGAACAGAAUAUGAAGUCUCAGAAUGACCUCUGCCCCACAUUGUUUCUGCUGACAAAGUGUGUACGCCACCACCGCUCAAUUCGUAAAUUCCUACGUCAGCGUGUACUUCCUCCUCUAACAGAAGUUCAUACUCGGCCUGAAGAGGGCAGCACCCUGCGUAAUAAACUGUGUCGCCUUCUUACUACUCCUUUUACGCAAGUUCGUGGUUUAGUCGAAGAGUUCCUCUUCAUCCUUUGUAAAGAAAACGUGAUGCGCAUGGUGAAGUACACAGGGUAUGGAAAUGCAGCUGGAUUCUUGGCAAAGAGAGGUGCGAUGCUUGGUGGAAGUGGAAAUUUGGAUUCUGGUUCAGGGGCACAGUAUUCAUCUGACAGUGAGGACAGUGACACAGAAGAAUACAAGAAGUACAAAUCUCAGAUCAACAUUAUGACGGGUUGUUACGAGAAGCCUCACCCAAACCCCAUGGCAUCCAUGUCAGAGGAGCAGAAGGAGUAUGAAGCACUGGAGCUGGUCAAGAAGCUGGAUCAACUUGCCAGAGAUGGUGUUGUACAACCAUGCCGAAUUGGGGAAGAUGGCCGUCCUGAGCCAGUGGGUCAAGUAUUGGAGUUAAUUGAAGAUAUUUCUCAACAGCAGCCCAAGCCAACACAAGAUGAUGAUUGAAUUUGAACUUGUUUCUCCUCUUUAAGUACUUAUGAAACAGCACUUCGCAGUAUAAUGAAAUUUGGUGUUGUGGGAGAGUUUAAAAGCCUGCAACUCAUCAGCAUGAGAUGUCAAGUGACUUUUCUGCCAUAAGGGCAAGGAGCUGUUGCUGUGCAGUCAUAAUAAGCAAGUUACAGCAUUUCUCUGACAUCCGUUUUGCCGUCCUAUCAUCUGUGUAUGGCUGUUUCAGAUAGUCUUUUCUCUUGAGGCUGUGCUACCACAAUCUGUUCAUGUCAUGACUGAAGUGAAAAUUUGUGCAUGUCAAGACUGAAGUGAAAAUCUGUGCAUAUCAAGACUGAAACAUAACAGGAAGAUAAUAUUACAGUCUUAUAGUAAGAAAUUUCUGAUGUGUGUGACCAAGUCAGACUGAUAAAUUGUCCAAAAAACUGCCUUUCUUGCUUUACUAUGGUUGCAUGUAGGAGGAUAACACAUAUGCAUGAUAUCUGACUUUGUGCUUUGUUUUGACGCUGUCUGUGUGCAAUGUCGGUUACUGUUCACUGGCUUUUCUCUAUUGACACCACAUGUUUGGCCUAACUGUCCAUCUUCAGGUGUACAGGUUGCUGUGAUUGUGGGAUCUGCUGCUUACUGUGAUGCUGUUCUGUUUCUGCUAUGUAGAGGCCUUGGAUUACAUGUGGUUAUGUGGGUUAGCCAUCUGUUGCGUAUUUACGUGUCUCUGAGCUGCUUGUGUUAUAGCCUUAUAGUUUUGUUGCCUGUGGCUGUCUUGAAUGUUCUUGCUGGGGUCGGAGAUUGUUGUGAUGAUGGCCAGCCACAACACAACAGACGUGUGCAGCUCAAGGACACCUAAAUAAGAAACAGAUGGUUAACCCACAUAACCAGAUGUAAUCCGAGUCCUCUGCAUAAGAGAAACAGAACAGCAUUACAGUAAGCAGCAGGUUCCACAGUUGCAACAACCGGUACACCUGAAGAUGGCCAGUUAAGCCGAAACAUGUAGUGGCAAUAAAAAGAAAACUAUGAGAGAAUAUUAACCGACGUUGCACAGAGACAGCAUCAAAGCAUAAUGCAAAGUCAGAUCCAAGCAGUGCAACAGGAUGCUGCAAUAUAUUAUUCCUGAUAUCAGUUUAUGUAAAAUUCAUUCAUGGUCUUCUGGCUUGAGACAUGUGUUUACCAAAGUUUUCUGUUGGUCUCUAGAAGCUAGGGACAGUGUAUUCUCUGGUUGUGAUGAAAUUGUGACUAGUUGGAAAUCAGUGUGAUGUGUCACGGGGCAUGUCACAUACAUGUGAAGCACUAUAUAUGGAGCAAGAUCUACAUGCAUCAAUGCAUCACGUGCAAGACAUUUUUUUAUAUUUGGUAGUCCCUGUUGAUCUCAUUUCCAUCUUCUAAUGGUUAAGAAGAAAGCAGUCAACAUUAGUCUGUUAGCACCUGCACACGCUGGUUCCUAGCUCGCGGAUUUUCUUCUUUUUUCUUCUACCAUGAAGAUUGAGGUGAUAUGUUCCUCUGAAAUGCUGGUUUAUAUAAGAUCUAUGUGGAGCCACAUCCAAGAAGACUGCUAUCUUCAUAGUCACUGCUGUGAAAACCUCAAGUCAUACCUUCUAAUGCUUAAGUUUAUCAAUGCUGUAAAUUUAAUAAUCAAUAUAUAACAGGAAUUGUUCAUUUAUGGAAUAUGAUCACUUGUAUUCAUGAAUUUAUAAGGCAGAAUACUAGUUGGAUCUUUUCCUUUCUUUUUUAUGCAUAUUUGGCAUUUUCUGUGACAGAACUGUGUGUAUUCCCAUUGUUGUAAGUUGCAGUUCUUGCAGGCAACACACAUAUUGAUGGAGUGUGAUAUGGGAGUUCCCUCAUGAAACCUGUCUAAAGCAUAUGAGAAGCAUUAUAUCAGCUUCCACUUCGGUUGGUCUAAAUCACUUUCCUCUAUGUCUUACAGAAGUAUUAGAAGUUACAAACAUUUGCUACAGUUUUUGUUGAUGUGUGAAAUGGAUUCUGUAAGCUUGCACCUUACCUCUCUUUGCUAGUUUUUAUCGAAUAAAGUUCAGCCAAUAAUGUCUCUUUCCUGAAA